UUCAACUCUCUGCCAUCUCUCUCUCUCUCUCUCUCUCCCCCCCCCUCUCUCUCCAAGAAACUAUUUUCCAAUUUCUUGGCCUUGACAAAAUUUCAAUAAUUUGAAUUCCAAACAAAUCACCAUGCCGAUGAAGAAAUCGAGCCUCUUUGCAGCCUUUGUUGCUGCUGCUACUGCUACUGCUACUGCCUUCUCUGCUUCCUCCUUAUCUUCUAGCUGUAACUCCAAUGUUAAGGAAGCUGGCUCAAACAAAGAUCACCAGAGAUCGGCUUCCAUGGAUAAAUUUGCACCAAGGUAUGAUGGGUUGAGGUUUAUUGAAACACUGGUCACUGCUCACAGAUGACGAGAGAGUCAACAUCUGGCCUUUAUAGCUCCAUGGAUGAUACUGAUUAGAUGUACUAAUUUUAGCUAGCACCCAUCUUUUCUCUUAAAUUAUGAGAGAAAAGGAUGGCAUAAAGAAGGCAUCGUUAGGUUACGCGUGGAUGUCUGUUGGAUGACAAUGUUUUGUAGCACUACGAGUCCAAGAUGUGGUUCUGUGGAAGUCCCAAAGGGGAAUUCCAAGUUAUGAACAAUUUUCUUUCAAGUAUGGGAACAAAAUACUUUGUCCUUAUUGACCUUGCUAAAUUAGAGCAUUGAGAGCCAAAAAUCAAGUACUUCCAUGCUUGGAUGAAUUUGGAAGCUCAUUUGGGAUCAACCAAGUUCAAUUGGCAUGUUGCUUGCAUCCAUUUUUUUUGUUGUUCUUGAGCUGACAAGUAGGCCACCUAAAGCCCUAUUGGGUUUACUUCAAAAUUAGUUCUCAUGGAAUGACAUAGCCAAAUUCUUGAUUUUGCACCAGUCUCUUGCUUGAGUAUUUUGGGUUACCAAAAAUUUGAUCUGCUACCACCAUGAAGUGUGCCAAAUUCUUGAUCAAGCACUAUGCUUUUGCUUGAAAUAGUUUGCCAGCAUCAUCAAAAGACACGAGACCAGUCUGCAGACAGCAUUGGAACAAGAAUGUGGUGAUCAAUGGCCCAAAUGGCCUAGUGGUGUCUCGGGCUUCCAAAAGAAUGGUAAAAAAUUGAAGCAACUUUUUUGAACUUGAACCCAUGAUAAUGGGAAGGACGAGUUGUGUAUUUUCAAUGGUCGAACAGAGAAAAAGAAGUAAAAAAGAAAGAAAGUGAUGGAAUAAGUAUAUGCAUCUUCUUGAAUGCUUAAAAAUUGGAAAAUGGAUAUUCUUGAUUCCACUCAUCGGUAUGUAUGUUAACGCAAUCUAAAUUCUAUAAUUAAUUCACCACUUGGUUUA
This is a long non-coding RNA of Populus nigra (black poplar), 1276 nucleotides long. RefSeq lists it as uncharacterized. Lineage: Eukaryota; Viridiplantae; Streptophyta; Magnoliopsida; Malpighiales; Salicaceae. The record is from RefSeq and is a predicted model, not a curated record. The transcript has 3 exons.